CGCGGCCUAUCAGCUUGUUGGUGGGGUAAUGGCCUACCAAGGCGGCGACGGGUAGCCGGCCUGAGAGGGUGUACGGCCACAUUGGGACUGAGAUACGGCCCAGACUCCUACGGGAGGCAGCAGUGGGGAAUAUUGCACAAUGGGCGCAAGCCUGAUGCAGCGACGCCGCGUGGGGGAUGAAAGCCUUCGGGUUGUAAACUCCUUUCGCUAGGGACGAAGCUUUGUGUGACGGUACCUAGAUAAGAAGCACCGGCUAACUACGUGCCAGCAGCCGCGGUAAUACGUAGGGUGCGAGCGUUGUCCGGAAUUACUGGGCGUAAAGGGCUCGUAGGUGGUUUGUCGCGUCGUCUGUGAAAUUCUGGGGCUUAACUCCGGGCGUGCAGGCGAUACGGGCAUAACUUGAGUGCUGUAGGGGUAACUGGAAUUCCUGGUGUAGCGGUGAAAUGCGCAGAUAUCAGGAGGAACACCGAUGGCGAAGGCAGGUUACUGGGCAGUUACUGACGCUGAGGAGCGAAAGCAUGGGUAGCGAACAGGAUUAGAUACCCUGGUAGUCCAUGCCGUAAACGGUGGGCGCUAGGUGUGAGGGUCUUUCUACGACUUUCGUGCCGUAGCUAACGCAUUAAGCGCCCCGCCUGGGGAGUACGG
Molecule: ribosomal RNA, 645 nt
Filed under: uncultured bacterium
Lineage: Bacteria
Description: bacterial SSU rRNA
Rfam family: Bacterial small subunit ribosomal RNA
Source: RNAcentral